This 373-nucleotide ribosomal RNA is filed under the name uncultured bacterium. RNAcentral's name for it is "bacterial SSU rRNA". It matches the Rfam family "Bacterial small subunit ribosomal RNA", at positions 28 to 402 of the family's 1533-position model. The record is from RNAcentral.
GACGAACGCUGGCGGCGUGCUUAACACAUGCAAGUCGAGCGGUAAGGCCCUUUCGGGGGUACACGAGCGGCGAACGGGUGAGUAACACGUGGGUGACCUGCCCUCAGCUCUGGGAUAAGCCUGGGAAACUGGGUCUAAUACCGGAUAUGACUCCAUGACGCAUGUUGUGGGGUGGAAAGCCUUGUGCGGCUGAGGAUGGGCCCGCGGCCUAUCAGCUUGUUGGUGGGGUGANGGCCUACCAAGGCGACGACGGGUAGCCUGCCUGAGAGGGUGUUCGGCCACACUGGGACUGAGACACGGCCCAGACUCCUACGGGAGGCAGCAGUGGGGAAUAUUGCGCAAUGGGCGUAAGCCUGACGCAGCGACGCCGCGU